UAGUUGGAUUUCUGUUGAGGUCGGCGGUGUACACUUCGUGUAUUAUUUGCUUCGGUCUCGGCAUCCUCUUGGGGAACGUCAGGACUUCAUUGGACUGGCGAGAUUCAAGACUUUUACUUUGAGGAAAUUAGAGUGUUCACGGCAGGCAAGUGCUUUGAAUACAUUAGCAUGGAAUAAUAAUAUAGGACCUUCGUUCUAUUUUGUUGGUUUCUAGAACUUAGGUAAUGAUUAAUAGGGACAAUUGGGGGCAUUCGUAUUAACGCGUCAGAGGUGGAAUUCUUGGAUUGCGUUACGACGAACUACUGCGAAAGCAUUUGCCAAAGAUGUUUUCAUUGAUCAAGAACGAAAGUAUGGGGAUCGAAGACGCUUAGAUACCGUCGUAGUCUAUACCGUAAACUAUGCCAACUAGGGAUUGGACGGGUUAUCCUAUGUGGCUCGUUCAGCACCUUAUGAGAAAUCAAAGUUUUUGGGUUCCGGGGGGAGUAUGGUCGCAAGGCUGAAACUUAAAGGAAUUGACGGAAGGGCACCACCAGGAGUGGAGCCUGCGGCUUAAUUUGACUC
This 561-nucleotide ribosomal RNA is filed under the name uncultured marine eukaryote. RNAcentral describes it as "SSU rRNA". It matches the Rfam family "Eukaryotic small subunit ribosomal RNA", at positions 631 to 1201 of the family's 1831-position model. The record is from RNAcentral.